Molecule: ribosomal RNA, 497 nt
Filed under: uncultured bacterium
Lineage: Bacteria
Description: partial 16S ribosomal RNA
Rfam family: Bacterial small subunit ribosomal RNA
Source: RNAcentral
ACUCAAAGGAAUUGACGGGGGCCCGCACAAGCGGUGGAUCAUGUGGUUUAAUUCGAAGCAACGCGAAGAACCUUACCUGGAUUUGACAUCCUUUGAAUACAGUAGAGAUAUUGUAGGCUCGCAAGAGACAAAGAGACAGGUGCUGCAUGGCUGUCGUCAGCUCGUGUUGUGAAAUGUUGGGUUAAGUCCCGCAACGAGCGCAACCCCUGUGCUUGGUUGCCAUCAUUAAGUUGGGCACUCCAAGCAGACUGCCGUCGUCAAGACGGAGGAAGGUGGGGAUGACGUCAAGUCCUCAUGGCCUUUAUAUCCAGGGCGACACACGUGAUACAAUGGUAGAUACAGAGGGCAGCGAAGUAGCGAUACGAAGCCAAUCCCAAAAAGUCUAUCUCAGUUCGGAUUGGAGUCUGCAACUCGACUCCAUGAAGUUGGAAUCGCUAGUAAUCGCGGAUCAGCACGCCGCGGUGAAUACGUUCCCGGGCCUUGUACACACCGCCCGU